AUGCAAGUAGAACGCUGAAGGAGGAGCUUGCUCUCUCUGGAUGAGUUGCGAACGGGUGAGUAACGCGUAGGUAACCUGCCUGGUAGCGGGGGAUAACUAUUGGAAACGAUAGCUAAUACCGCAUAACAGUAGAUGUUGCAUGACAUUUGCUUAAAAGGUGCAAUUGCAUCACUACCAGAUGGACCUGCGUUGUAUUAGCUAGUUGGUGGGGUAACGGCUCACCAAGGCGACGAUACAUAGCCGACCUGAGAGGGUGACCGGCCACACUGGGACUGAGACACGGCCCAAACUCCUACGGGAGGCAGCAGUAGGGAAUCUUCGGCAAUGGACGGAAGUCUGACCGAGCAACGCCGCGUGAGUGAAGAAGGUUUUCGGAUCGUAAAGCUCUGUUGUAAGAGAAGAACGAGUGUGAGAGUGGAAAGUUCACACUGUGACGGUAUCUUACCAGAAAGGGACGGCUAACUACGUGCCAGCAGCCGCGGUAAUACGUAGGUCCCGAGCGUUGUCCGGAUUUAUUGGGCGUAAAGCGAGCGCAGGCGGUUAGAUAAGUCUGAAGUUAAAGGCUGUGGCUUAACCAUAGUACGCUUUGGAAACUGUUUAACUUGAGUGCAAGAGGGGAGAGUGGAAUUCCAUGUGUAGCGGUGAAAUGCGUAGAUAUAUGGAGGAACACCGGUGGCGAAAGCGGCUCUCUGGCUUGUAACUGACGCUGAGGCUCGAAAGCGUGGGGAGCAAACAGGAUUAGAUACCCUGGUAGUCCACGCCGUAAACGAUGAGUGCUAGGUGUUAGACCCUUUCCGGGGUUUAGUGCCGUAGCUAACGCAUUAAGCACUCCGCCUGGGGAGUACGACCGCAAGGUUGAAACUCAAAGGAAUUGACGGGGGCCCGCACAAGCGG
This 894-nucleotide ribosomal RNA is filed under the name uncultured bacterium. RNAcentral's name for it is "bacterial SSU rRNA". It matches the Rfam family "Bacterial small subunit ribosomal RNA", at positions 55 to 932 of the family's 1533-position model. The record is from RNAcentral.